RNAcentral lists this transfer RNA (72 nucleotides) under Chloroflexota bacterium. RNAcentral describes it as "Chloroflexi bacterium tRNA-Arg". It matches the Rfam family "tRNA". Rfam says of the family: Transfer RNA (tRNA) molecules are approximately 80 nucleotides in length. Their secondary structure includes four short double-helical elements and three loops (D, anti-codon, and T loops). Lineage: Bacteria; Bacillati; Chloroflexota. The record is from RNAcentral.
GCCCCCGUAGCUCAGCGGAUAGAGCGCUGCCCUCCGGAGGCAGAAGCACAGGUUCGAGUCCUGUCGGGGGUA